CCUACGGGAGGCAGCAGUGGGGAAUAUUGGACAAUGGGGGCAACCCUGAUCCAGCCAUGCCGCGUGAGUGAUGAAGGCCUUCGGGUUGUAAAGCUCUUUUGGCGGGGACGAUGAUGACGGUACCCGCAGAAUAAGCCCCGGCUAACUUCGUGCCAGCAGCCGCGGUAAGACGAAGGGGGCUAGCGUUGUUCGGAAUUACUGGGCGUAAAGCGCGUGUAGGCGGUUUGCCAAGUCGGGUGUGAAAGCCUUGGGCUUAACCCAAGAAAUGCACUCGGUACUGGCAGACUAGAGGACCGGAGAGGAUAGUGGAAUUCCCAGUGUAGUGGUGAAAUACGUAGAGAUUGGGAAGAACACCAGUGGCGAAGGCGGCUAUCUGGACGGUUUCUGACGCUAAGACGCGAAAGCGUGGGGAGCAAACAGGAUUAGAUACCCUGGUAGUCCACGCCGUAAACGAUGGGUGCUAGACGUUGGCGGGCCUGCUCGUCAGUGUCGCAGCUACGACGUUAACGCACCCGCCGUCGGGUAGGUACGGCCGCGAGGUUAGAACGUACAAAGGAAAGUUAGACGGCGUGAGACGUGCCGAACGGACGACGACGAGGGGAGAGG
Molecule: ribosomal RNA, 606 nt
Filed under: uncultured bacterium
Lineage: Bacteria
Description: bacterial SSU rRNA
Rfam family: Bacterial small subunit ribosomal RNA (bases 1-517)
Source: RNAcentral